AGGACCUUUGCAGUCGCACGCUGCUGUACCUUGCGUUGCUGCCGAAUUGAGCGGUCCCUCAGGAGCUUACCCUCACUUACCCUCGGAGGCCGGACCAAAGUGAUGAUCUGCCAGUCCCAUGGAUGAGCUGGAAGUGGCUGCUAAUACAGGAGCAGCUGGCUGCUAUUGCUCUCUGACUUCCAAAGAUCUCCAGUUCCUCACCAGCCCUGCCGAAGGAGGCCCCAGUAGCCUGUACCAGUGAUUUUUCCUACGUGACCUCGCCUUCUCCCCACCAGUCUUCAAAACCCAGACACUCUGGCAAAGUUUCAGAUGACCCAUAGAGGUCCAAUCUAAAGAGCUAAAGUGACAGAGAAUCUGUUGCAUCCUCAGGUAAAUUGUUCCAGUGGUUAAUUAAUAACCUUAAAUGUUCUGCACCAAGAAUAAUUGUAUUUCUUUGCAGAAAUGCCUUUGGUUUCCAGCCACUGGAUCUCAAGAUGCCUUCAUCUGUCAGAUUAAAGAGCCUCAUCUUAUUACUUAUUACUGUGUAGGCACUUGCUGACCGCUCUCAGGUCACCUCUUAACCUUCCUAGGGACAGACUAAAUGGAUUGAAUGUCUCUAGUUCCCCUCUGUAAGUGAGGUUUAUCAACCUCCUAUUCUUCUUGCUUCUGUCUGCUGAAACCCCUCCAAUUUGUUCUCAUCCUCCUUUCCAGCCAGAUGCAGCAGGGUCUUGUGCAGUCUUUCGUGCCUUCUACCAUGGCUAAAGAGCUUCUGGGCACCCGCUGAGCCUUGUCCUGCUCUGUGCAUCCCAGGGCUGAAUUAUUCCUCAGCUGCUGCUGUGUCCAGGGUCAGGCUGAGCCCUUAGUGCCUCUCUGGUGUCCCCAUAAGAACGGAAUGGAGAGUGCAAAGAAGCCAGUCCUGAGCUUGGGAUCAGCCUGUCAUGGCCCAAGGGGUUUUGGUGCCUCUAAUUUGGCAUCUACCCUGGCUACGCAAAAAGAAAAGGAAGGUCCUGAGUCAGGCGGCUGGGCUGGGCAGGAGGGACAGAGGAGCUGCUGGGGAGCUUGGGGCUGUCUCCUGUGUGAGUCUGCUCACACAGAAGUUCACCAGCUCCAAGUGAGUGUAAUUGCAGAGACAAAGUCGGAGCAGCCUGAAAAUCACAGGGACAGCAUAACUUCCAGCCGAGGAGAAAAGGGCCUUUACGAGGUCUUGAACCGGUGUCCUUAGGUAGGUUGUGCGGCGGCGUGAUGUGUGAGCACUCAGCCACUCCGCUGCUGGUUAGAAAUGAGAAAUUUCAAGGGCUAUUGAGCACUUUGUGAAUUUUCACAGUGGCUCAGCGCAAAGUUAUUUAGCACAGGUGUUUUAGUAAUUGUGAUGCAUUGGGAAAAUUCACAGUGCUCAAUGGCCCUCAAACUUCCACCUGCUUGGUGUGGUGGUUAAGUAUUAGUGCAGUGGAUUAUAAGAUAAAAUAUGCAGGAGAGACUUGCUGGCUGCAGGAAUUUUUCUGGCACUGGUUAUACUUCUUUGUUAUUCUACAAAUGGUUUGUUUAUCUGAUGUGUAUUAGAAGGACAGAAAGUUGACUUCAGUGGCUCUUAAAGUUGAGUGUUCUGUACCUACUGAGGCUGAUGGGUCCACGUCCCCUCAUGGCCCAGGCAAGGGCACUGCAGAGGGAAAGGGGUCUGCAGACCACAUCCCUGGCCGUGCUCAGCGGUAUCUCUGGGUGUCCCAUUCUGGGGCUGCACAGCUGCUCAAAAUGCCCAGCCAUGAGCCCUGGGUAGGGGGACAGGGAAGAAGAAGGACCUCUGCCCACAGUUCUCUGAAGGUACGCAACUGUACCUGCAAGUCCUGGGUAAGUUUUCCUUUAAUUAUCCCUUUCCAAGUCACCUCUGCUCCCAUGCUGACUGUGCUAGGAGGGCCCCUUCGGGAAGGAUGCUCUAUCUGUCCUUUCAUGCACAAAUGAAUUGAUUAGGCAUCUUUGCAAGGAUGUGAUGUGGCCAAGUACAAAGAGUCAGAAGAAAGCUUUAAUUUUACUUUUACUUCAGCCCUGACAGUGGAACAUUGUGGAAAGCACAAAUACCGAACUGAUGACACAGGCCAUUAUUACAAAGUAAUUAAAUACAGAAAAUACUGUUUUCUGCUGUCUCCUAAACUGAAUUGAUGGAGUAAUCCUGCAAGCUUUACUGAUUUUGCUGUGCUGUGGAUGGGCAGCUAAAGCACAAGGACCUGUGGCAAUGUGGGAUGGCUGAGCUUGUUGGCUGCUGCAAUUUGCAGAGCAAACUGUUUUCUCAUGUUUUAGUUUUUGAUGCUGAACGGACAUUAGCAAUGCGAUUCCCCUCCUUCCCCAGCUUUCUUCCCAGAUAAACACACAUAGCUGACUGGCUUUGUUCCACCCAGUUCUCUCCAUAUAUUCACCCCAAGCCCAGUUAUCAUGGGAAUGGGCCUGCACCACUGAAUAGAAAUUUCCGAGGAAGGGAGGGUUCAGCAUCUGAAAGCAAAAGGUGAUAAGCGAGAACACACUGAAAAUCCCAGAUCUGUGCUGUGAAAGGGGAAGGCUGGUUGGGUCAGCUGAGACUCGUUGCUAUAUUCUUACAUGGAGGUGUAAGUGCAGGUGAGGAGGAGGAAAGCGGUGGUUGUGGUGGGAGUGGGAAUACUCAGAUUGGGAGCUGUCAGUGUGGCUGCCACACGGCAGGAGCUCUCUGUCACCGACACAACCCCAUCGGCCUAAGGGCAACUCAGAUCCAUCCAUGGGGGCUGGAAACCCCUCAGUGGUGCUGGCGAUGCUCAGCCCAGAGCUGCUUUUCCAUUCAUGGUGCCUGAUCCUCCGCCACACGCUCCCCUCAGCCCUGCUAACACGAGCAGUGACGCUUUCUUUUCCAGCUCCCACAGCUGAGAGAGCAGCACUUCUACUUUUGCUUCUUUUCCCCACACUGCGUUUAGACACUGACUUUCUAAUUGCAACCGGCCACCUCCUCCGCGCUGGGAAGCGAGCGUGUCUCCUGCGAACCCUGGUGAGGCUGCGGGCUGCCCUGCCGUGCAUCGUGCUGCAGGUUUUCGGCAGGGUGAAACACUGACUCUGUGGCAUCUUUGGGUCUUGCAGGCACAGGUGGGACUUCAGUGAUAAAAAAGCAAAACCAAAGCAGGCAAAGUUUGUCAUGAGCCAAAUGCAGCCAUUUGCAGGUCUCCGGAAGAUUAAAAGCUGGUGUGUAACUGGAGAGUCCUGCUGUGAUAUGCUAAUAAAAUUAAUGAAUGGACUCUAUUUUGAGCUUAUUGAAAUAUUUCAGAAUUCCCAAUUCUGACAAGAUUUCAAAUGGAAAUUUCAGAUGUCUUCUCCCCAGUUUCUCCUCAGUCUCCUCUCUCCCUCUCACACCAUCGUUUUUGGUGAUAUUAACAUGUAAAUUAAGCUCAUUUAUAGAAAGUAACAUUUUGACAAGUUGACAAGUGUUGUACAUGACAAGAGUUUGGGUUGGGAGGGGUUCCUGUUUCCACAAUUGCUAUUAUUCCCUGGCAUGGAAAUAUAGCUGUGUGCAGCAGUGGUCAAGGUGCUUGUGCUGUAUUUAGCCCCAGUAGCCGGGAUACCCUGCUGGACGCAGUCAUCGGUGGCUGUGCAGGGUCUCUCCAGGUCCUACCAAAGCCAGCAGAUGAUCUGCUUUGUUGCCGCUACAGGAAUCAGGUUUGGACCUGUGUGUUGCAUAGCAACUCUAAAUUAUUAUAAGGGUAUUAUUGCUACUCAUGAAUAAAUACAGUUUGUCUCUUU
Molecule: long non-coding RNA, 3729 nt
Organism: Falco peregrinus (peregrine falcon)
Lineage: Eukaryota; Metazoa; Chordata; Aves; Falconiformes; Falconidae
Exons: 2
Source: RefSeq, a predicted model, not a curated record